AGAAACGGGGAAUCAACCCUCCCCCAUAGACUC
Molecule: transfer RNA, 33 nt
Filed under: Leptonycteris yerbabuenae (Lesser long-nosed bat)
Lineage: Eukaryota; Metazoa; Chordata; Mammalia; Chiroptera; Phyllostomidae
Description: partial tRNA-Thr
Source: RNAcentral